Molecule: ribosomal RNA, 441 nt
Filed under: uncultured bacterium
Lineage: Bacteria
Description: partial 16S ribosomal RNA
Rfam family: Bacterial small subunit ribosomal RNA
Source: RNAcentral
CCUACGGGGGGCAGCAGUGGGGGAUAUUGCACAAUGGGGGGAACCCUGAUGCAGCGACGCCGCGUGGGUGAAGGAGUAUUUCGGUAUGUAAAGCCCUAUCGGCAGGGAAGAAGCAAGACGGUACCUGACUAAGAAGCCCCGGCUAACUACGUGCCAGCAGCCGCGGUAAUACGUAGGGGGCGAGCGUUAUCCGGAUUCACUGGGUGUAAAGGGAGCGUAGACGGCUGUGCAAGUCUGGAGUGAAAGGCGGGGGCCCAACCCCCGGACUGCUCUGGAAACUGUAUGGCUGGAGUGCAGGAGAGGUAAGCGGAAUUCCUAGUGUAGCGGUGAAAUGCGUAGAUAUUAGGAGGAACACCAGUGGCGAAGGCGGCUUACUGGACUGUAACUGACGUUGAGGCUCGAAAGCGUGGGGAGCAAACAGGAUUAGAUACCCGUGUAGUC